Molecule: ribosomal RNA, 417 nt
Filed under: uncultured Gammaproteobacteria bacterium
Lineage: Bacteria; Pseudomonadati; Pseudomonadota; Gammaproteobacteria
Description: bacterial SSU rRNA
Rfam family: Bacterial small subunit ribosomal RNA
Source: RNAcentral
AAUGGGGGAAACCCUGAUGCAGCCAUGCCGCGUGUGUGAAGAAGGCCUUCGGGUUGUAAAGCACUUUCAGUUGUGAGGAAAAGUUAGUAGUUAAUACCUGCUAGCCGUGACGUUAACAACAGAAGAAGCACCGGCUAACUCCGUGCCAGCAGCCGCGGUAAUACGGAGGGUGCGAGCGUUAAUCGGAAUUACUGGGCGUAAAGCGCACGCAGGCGGUUUGUUAAGCUAGAUGUGAAAGCCCCGGGCUCAACCUGGGAUGGUCAUUUAGAACUGGCAGACUAGAGUCUUGGAGAGGGGUGUGGAAUUCCAGGUGUAGCGGUGAAAUGCGUAGAUAUCUGGAGGAACAUCAGUGGCGAAGGCGACUCCCUGGCCAAAGACUGACGCUCAUGUGCGAAAGUGUGGGUAGCGAACAGGAUU